CAGUAGCCGCGGUAAUACGAAGGUCCCGAGCGUUGUUCGGAAUCACUGGGCGUAAAGGGAGCGUAGGCGGCGUGGUAAGUCAGAUGUGAAAUCCCGGGGCUCAACCCCGGAACUGCAUCCGAUACUGCCGUGCUAGAGGAUUGGAGAGGUAGCUGGAAUUCUUGGUGUAGCAGUGAAAUGCGUGGAGAUCAAGAGGAACACUCGUGGCGAAAGCGAGCUACUGGACAAUAUCUGACGCUGAGGCUCGAAGGCCAGGGUAGCGAGAGGGAUUAGAUACCCCUGUAGUCCCUGUCUCUUAUAC
Molecule: ribosomal RNA, 301 nt
Filed under: uncultured bacterium
Lineage: Bacteria
Description: partial 16S ribosomal RNA
Rfam family: Bacterial small subunit ribosomal RNA
Source: RNAcentral